This 411-nucleotide ribosomal RNA is filed under the name Vibrio cholerae. RNAcentral's name for it is "partial 23S ribosomal RNA". It matches the Rfam family "Bacterial large subunit ribosomal RNA", at positions 1 to 455 of the family's 2925-position model. Lineage: Bacteria; Pseudomonadati; Pseudomonadota; Gammaproteobacteria; Vibrionales; Vibrionaceae. The record is from RNAcentral.
GUUGUAUGGUUAAGUGACUAAGCGUACACGGUGGAUGCCUGGGCAGUCAGAGGCGAUGAAGGACGUACUAACUUGCGAUAAGCGCAGAUAAGGCAGUAAGAGCCGUUUGAGUCUGCGAUUUCCGAAUGGGGAAACCCAACUGCAUAAGCAGUUACUGUUAACUGAAUACAUAGGUUAACAGAGCAAACCGGGGGAACUGAAACAUCUAAGUACCCCGAGGAGAAGAAAUCAACCGAGAUUCCGGUAGUAGCGGCGAGCGAACCUGGAUUAGCCCUUAAGCACUCGGUGAAGUAGGUGAACAAGCUGGAAAGCUUGGCGAUACAGGGUGAUAGCCCCGUAACCGACGCUUCAUCGAGCGUGAAAUCGAGUAGGGCGGGACACGUGAUAUCCUGUCUGAAUAUGGGGGGACCA